UACGAAGGGGGCUAGCGUUGUUCGGAAUCACUGGGCGUAAAGCGUGCGUAGGCGGUUCGUUAAGUCUGCUGUGAAAGCCCUGGACUCAACCUGGGAACUGCAGUGGAUACUGGCGGACUAGAGUGUGAUAGAGGAUGGUGGAAUUCCCGGUGUAGCGGUGAAAUGCGUAGAGAUCGGGAGGAACACCAGUGGCGAAGGCGGCCAUCUGGAUCAACACUGACGCUGAGGCACGAAAGCGUGGGGAGCAAACAGG
This 253-nucleotide ribosomal RNA is filed under the name uncultured bacterium. RNAcentral's name for it is "partial 16S ribosomal RNA". It matches the Rfam family "Bacterial small subunit ribosomal RNA", at positions 524 to 776 of the family's 1533-position model. The record is from RNAcentral.